This 490-nucleotide ribosomal RNA is filed under the name uncultured Glomeraceae. RNAcentral's name for it is "SSU rRNA". It matches the Rfam family "Eukaryotic small subunit ribosomal RNA", at positions 609 to 1098 of the family's 1831-position model. The record is from RNAcentral. Lineage: Eukaryota; Fungi; Glomeromycota; Glomeromycetes; Glomerales; Glomeraceae.
GUUGUUGCAGUUAAAAAGCUCGUAGUUGAACCUCGGGGUCUACCCAUUGGUCAGGCUUAAUUGUCUGCACUGGUGAGAUGGAUCUCUACCUUCUGAGGAACUUUCAAGCCAUUUAUUUGGUGUGAUGGGAAAUCAGGACUGUUACUUUGAAAAAAUUAGAGUGUUUAAAGCAGACUAUCGUCUGAAUACAUUAGCAUGGAAUAAUGAAAUAGGACGGACUGAUUCUAUUUCGUUGGUUUCUAGGAUCACCGUAAUGAUUAAUAGGGAUAGUUGGGGGCAUUAGUAUUCAAUUGUCAGAGGUGAAAUUCUUGGAUUUAUUGAAGACUAACUACUGCGAGAGCAUUUGCCAAGGAUGUUUUCAUUAAUCAAGAACGAAAGUUAGGGGAUCGAAGACGAUCAGAUACCGUCGUAGUCUUAACCAUAAACUAUGCCGACUAGGGAUCGGACGAAGUUAAUUUUAUAAUGACGCGUUCGGCGCCUUACGGGAAAC